This 490-nucleotide ribosomal RNA is filed under the name uncultured bacterium. RNAcentral describes it as "bacterial SSU rRNA". It matches the Rfam family "Bacterial small subunit ribosomal RNA", at positions 17 to 507 of the family's 1533-position model. The record is from RNAcentral.
UCCUGGCUCAGAUUGAACGCUGGCGGCAUGCCUUACACAUGCAAGUCGAACGGUAACAGGUCUUCGGAUGCUGACGAGUGGCGAACGGGUGAGUAAUGCAUCGGAACGUGCCCAGUCGUGGGGAUAACGCAGCGAAAGCUGUGCUAAUACCGCAUACGAUCUAUGGAUGAAAGCGGGGACCGUAAGGCCUCGCGCGAUUGGAGCGGCCGAUGUCAGAUUAGCUAGUUGGUGGGUAAAGGCCCACCAAGGCGACGAUCUGUAGCUGGUCUGAGAGGACGACCAGCCACACUGGGACUGAGACACGGCCCAGACUCCUACGGGAGGCAGCAGUGGGGAAUUUUGGACAAUGGGCGCAAGCCUGAUCCAGCAAUGCCGCGUGCAGGAAGAAGGCCUUCGGGUUGUAAACUGCUUUUGUACGGAACGAAAAGGUCCGGGUUAAUACCCUGGGCUCAUGACGGUACCGUAAGAAUAAGCACCGGCUAACUACGUG